CCUGCUGAUAUGGAAGCAUUGCAAGUGUGGCUGCUCUGUCACAUGUGCUUCAAGUAGACAUGUGCUAUGUCUACUCUCAGUGUUCUGACCUACAAACAUCUGAAUGAUUAGCACCCUAACAGU
This is a small nucleolar RNA of Rattus norvegicus (Norway rat), 123 nucleotides long. Ensembl annotates it as small nucleolar RNA SNORA17. NCBI's taxonomy places the organism in Eukaryota, Metazoa, Chordata, Mammalia, Rodentia, Muridae. The record is from Ensembl.